This 289-nucleotide long non-coding RNA is filed under the name Nicotiana tabacum (common tobacco). RNAcentral's name for it is "long non-coding RNA (NTAB_LNC004352)". Lineage: Eukaryota; Viridiplantae; Streptophyta; Magnoliopsida; Solanales; Solanaceae. The record is from RNAcentral.
GCUCCGCCACCUCCGGUAGACCGCACUCUUCUUCAUCAUCUUCUUUUAAUGGUCCCAAUAAGACUAUUAUCUCCAACUCACGUAUCCAUGGCCACAUGCUUGUCCUGAGCCGGCCCACUCCCAAGCCCAUCUCCAUUCCGCAACCCCAGCCUCAGCCUCUUCCGAUCCAGCUACAGCCCAAGUUACAAAGCCCACCGGAUCAAACCCGAGCUGAAUCGGACUCCAUUUCGCUUCGUCCACAGGGUCGUACUGGGUCGGGGCCGACUGCUACACUUUCUUCGUCUCCUGU